CGAGGGGCCGGGCAUGGAGCAGACGCGCGGAGCUCAGCGCCGGGGAGGCUGCAGCUGCUGAGUGCGCCCCGCUCUCGCCCGCCUGCUGCUUCUGGCCCGCCGCGGCGCACCAUGGACUGCCCGGCUCGCCUUGCCCUCCUCCUCCUCCUCCUCCUCUCGGCAGGAUUGAGUCUUCACUCUGCACAUUCAGACUUUACAUCCUCUCUCAGUCCUUCUGAGAGAAAUACUCUUACGUCAGAAUCAACUCAAACCGCUGUCCCCGUCACCCUUGCUGCUAGCACAACAGCAGACAAGCUACAAUCAGCAACAGCGACCACUUCAAGAGACAAAGUCACCUCAAGACCAGCAGAACAGGGCAACACCAUAAUCUCCUUAGGCACCACAAAAGAGUUGUCAACUGCCACGAAACAUCUUGCCUCAUAUACAGAAAGAGCAGAUGUUUCAGCCACCAGCCCAUCACCGUCAUCAACCACUGGGUCAGAAUCAACAGCCACAGAACACAUCUCCAGGACUUCAGUUGCCAUCCUGACAAAUACAACAGCUCCAGAUACAGCCACCCCUUCCACAACAGCUCCAGAUACAGCCACCCCAGCAACGACCUUCUCUCACCUAACUAAUACCUCGUCUUCAUCGUCAUCGGCAGGUUCUUCCACACAGACCACCAUUACAAAUCAAAACACAAUCCAGCUGCCAAAUGCAUCCACGGCAGCACCUGCUACAGAGGAUGCCCCUACUAAAAAGACGCCCACAGAGUCCCUCUCAUCAGGCCCAGUGAUCAGACAAACAUCUCAAGUAACUUUGGCAACCAAGUCUGUCGCAGAGGCCACCUCCCCUGAGAGCACCACUUUCUCCAUAGGAGUAACCAUGGAAGAGGUCCAGCGGGCUUUAAGUUCAGGAAGCAUUGCAGCCAUUACGGUGACAGUCAUUCUGGUGGUGCUGUUGGUGUUUGGGGUGGCAGCAUACCUUAAGAUCAGAGACUGUCCAGUUUGACCAAUGAACAUGGCGGAGGGGCAUUGCUGGCACAUGAUGGCAUAUAUCACAUUGGUGGAUGUGCAGGAGGAAAUGGACUUGCUAUGAGGCACAGCCUGAGCGCUACCCCCCAGGACUUGACCAUAGGAGUGCCAUCACCCAGGUAACGAUGCACGAGACAACACAUAGCAUUUGCCAACCAGCUUCAGUGUUACCCUUCUGCAGACAUGUGAGUGAGACCAGGACAAAGAUCAGCCUCUUAACAGCACUCUAUUACUGUGGACAUGAGCCCAGCCCAAUCGAACUCUGCCAACUCGUUAGUGAUUGCUCUAAGAAUUCUUAAAACAUCAGCUGUUCUAGAGUGGCUCGGGGGAUCCUUCCUUAGCUCAACUGCUACAAGAGUUCAUUCUGACUCCCAGCUGAGGAGGUAAAACAAAAGGUGCAAACUGCAAAGAGACAAUUUCAAGUGAGAUACAAACACAAAGGAGAUCUAUAUCCGUUAAUCACUGCGUAUAAGCGACCCACACAGCUACUUUCAGCCAGUGCAGGUAAUUUUUCAUUGCCUUGGUCCUCAAGAGGUUAGAAACCUAGAGCACAAUGUGAAGCGUGAGAGGGAAGAAGAGAUAAGCAGAUGGGAGAAGGGAAAGAUCCAAGUCAAAGAUUGCCUUGUCUACAGGAAAAUGAUUUGCCUGGUUUAGAUCAGCAGUGGAAGAGACCACAUGCAUCACAUGUCUGAAUUUAUUAUUUUGUUGAUGGGAAGGAUAGCUCAGUGGUUUGAGCAUUGGCCUGCUAAACCCAGGGUUGUGAGUUCAAUCCUUGAGGGGACCAUUUAGGGAUCUGGGGCAAAAAUUGGGGAUUGGUCCUGCUUUGAGCAGGGGGUUGGACUAGAUAAUCUCCUGAGGUCCCUUCCAACCCUGAUAUUCUAUGAUGAAUGAGUGUUUGAGAGACUGGCUUUGCGGCUAGGGAUUAUACUGGAUUUCCCAUCAACGUGUAAGGCAUUUGACCUAGAUAAGACCAUGCCAGCUUCCUUAAAAUAGUCUGGAUUUUCAAUAUCUUUGAGGAGGAGAGGGAGUCACAGGCCAGCAGGUUAUAUGGUAUAGCAAAGGCUGACUAUUUUUUAAAUUCAGUACAAAAAUCAAAACCCAGCAUAGAAAACUCAGGCUCUCAAGCACUCAUUCAUCAGCGAAAUAAAAAUAAAUGUAGACGCCCAGUAACUGUCAUCUGCUCCCUCACCUAAGCUAAAACCAGAGACACCUUACACACAAGCAAUCUUAAGCGGGACCUAUUGGAGUUGACACUUGGUAAGUCAUACUUGAUUGAACGGAGUUGUACGGCUCCAAAGCAGGCCUCUCGCACCUGAUUUGUCUGGAAUCCAUGGAGGCUGCAAGGUGGAGCAAGUGAAAUUCGUAACCCAUAAGAAUCCCAGAUAUGGCUGAGACACCCUGCUGUGUGUCAACAAGCCAUCGGAGGACAGAGUGACAUUUCAUGAUCUCAACUUAGGGAGAUAAGUCACGACAUCAGACAGGGCCACUCCAGCCUUCAGCCCUCUCUCCCUGUACCUGAAGGAGGCCCACUAGCAAGAAGUGCUGUGCCAGCAGAUCACCAUCGUCUGCCUCCUUGACUGCAGUCCCAGCUCCUACCCUACAAGAGUCCAAAUGCCAAGAGCUGGAGUCCAUGAAGCCCUCACCCCAAAUGUGUCUUCUUAUUCCUUUCUAGUUUUUGUUUUGUUUUUAUUAACAGGGAGAUGCUCCAGCCAUUUUAGUCUCUAAUUUUAGGGUGUGAAAGUGGGGCUGUGUGAGUCCUCAAAGCCCAUGCAGGGAAGGUACUUGAAAGAGUAGUUCUCUGGGUUUAAACAAGCCUUAAACAUAGCCUCAUAAAGACACUAAUUAAAGUCUUGAGACCUGAAAUUAUCAUCUCCCAUUUCCAAAAAGCAAGAGUUGUAAAACAUCUGCUUACCAACAAUGUUCUGUUAAAGUCUGUUAUAAAGCUCUCUGCUAGGGGCAGAAAACCACAUAAGAGAGGAAGCAUUAUAAUUGGCUCAGAGGUUGUGGUUCAGACAUGAAAAUAAUCAUUUGGUUUCAUUCUGAAGCUACUUAACCAAAUUCAAAUGAUAGAUCUGACGACGUUGGUAAAAUGUAUUAGUGGGGAUUUAUAACCGAACAGCCAGCCACUUUCUCAGAAAAAGGAUUAUGUUUGGUAUUAAUUUGAUGACUCGACUCCAAUUCAAUAUGGAGACUAGCUGGUUGAUUUGAUUUUGAGUCAACAGUGGUUAGUAUUAUGAGUUUAGUUCUAGCACCAUGUGUUCUCGAUUUCGUUUUAGUAGAGGAGGUUUAACAUUUAUCAAAUACAAAUUGACACAGCAUCACAGGUCUUUCACUAAGAACCAUGUGUCCAAUCCAGAGUCUUUGAUAGCCUGGGGUGGAUACCAGUCAGUCAACGUUAAUGCCUGAUCAGCUACUCCUAAUGAGUCUAUGGUUCUCACAUAAUUGCCACCCAAAGAGCACCCCUGAUGACAUACACAUCCUUGCUUUUGAAGGAGGAGUCAACUUAUCAGUAAGCCUUGUUGGAGCCUUGUUUCUGAACAGUCCUUCAUUUGGGCUCUGUUCUUUGAAUCAGAAGACUGCUACAGCAAGCAGAGCUAAGACAAGAAGACCCUUCUGUGCUUUUCCUGCUGACAGUGGGUGAGAAAUUGCUUUGGAUUUUUUCUAAAUUUCUUUAUUCAUUAUCUACAUUUUACUCACAUAUUAGAGCUGAAAGACAGGUCACCCAGUUUGACUGGCAGAUUAACUGGGAUUUAAAUAUUAGCAGCUUGCAGCUUUAUUUGUGCAAGAUGCUUCCUGAACUGAAAUGGACAAGCAUGUUCUGAAUUUCCAAGGUGUUUCACGCUUUCCCUGGUUUCUGCCUUUGCCUGCAAGGACAUUUCUAGCAGUUUUGGAUUACAAAGAAAGCCACAAGUUCCUUCAAGAGAAAAGACAACUGCCUUAAUCACUGACAAGAAGCCAUCCCGCAGAGAGCCUGCUAGAGUCUAUUCCAAGAAGUUCCCAGGUGACCUCUCCACAUAGAGGUAACACAACAUACAACACCACACAACAGAUUAACAACUUGAUUUUACACCAACUUUAUUCUACUCGUGAGUCAGUUCAGUCUUUACCAUCUGAUCAGGAGGUUAGUUCCUUUAUAUGGGCAGCUAACUGAGGAUGUAGAGGGGCACAAGGCAACAGAACUGGAGAGCUGGGACUGACAAGUUGCAGGAAUCUCACAUUCAGGAUGUGAAGGAAAGGGGAACAAGGGCCCCAAUGCAGACAGGAAUAAUGCCACAUGGUACAGAUCAGGCUCAGAAGCCACGAUGCAUCUCUGUGCUGGUACAGAGCAACAGGAAGCUGCUGGGGCCUCCAAGAACCAGUUCAAUUUGUGCCCUAAUUGCCAUGGCCCCAAAGGGUGUAGAAGUAGCUGGGGCAUAGAAAUGCCCCACCAAAGCUAUUUCCUGGCCCUGCCAUGCCCAUGCCAUUCCCAGCAUUCCGCAGUACAGGGAAUUUGUAGCAGAUCUCAGUGUAGUUCUUAGGGAUCCAUACCAAAAAACCCACUAAAUGCCCCCAGCACAUGUUGGAAGCAGAAAGGCCAAGAAGGGAUGAGGCCAGUUGCAGGAAGGGCAGCUAAAGCCACCAGCUACUUUGUCAGUAUGAGGGUCUUGCUCCUGAAGCAUCAUGUCAUCCAUAGCUGCUAAGCCACAGUUCCUGGCCCCUCACACUAUGCCAGUUGGGUCAGCUAGAGACCGAAGAGCUGCUGUCUGAGAUCAGAGAAGGACACGACUCUCCAUGGAUUCACUGGAACCAAUCAGCUGGUCACGGUCUCCAUUCUCAGCCCCUCACAUGUUGGGAGUCCUAGUUCAGCAAGGCAUUGUUGGUAUUUCUGGUCAUGGCGAUUCAGACUUAACUCCUUCAUGAAUCAAUAAUACAAAAUUCCCCCAUCCAUCACUUCACCACCA
Molecule: RNA transcript, 4954 nt
Organism: Caretta caretta (loggerhead turtle)
Lineage: Eukaryota; Metazoa; Chordata; Testudines; Cheloniidae
Gene: PARM1
Gene name: prostate androgen-regulated mucin-like protein 1
Source: RefSeq, a predicted model, not a curated record